RNAcentral lists this ribosomal RNA (507 nucleotides) under Salmonella enterica subsp. enterica. RNAcentral describes it as "bacterial SSU rRNA". It matches the Rfam family "Bacterial small subunit ribosomal RNA", at positions 1029 to 1533 of the family's 1533-position model. Lineage: Bacteria; Pseudomonadati; Pseudomonadota; Gammaproteobacteria; Enterobacterales; Enterobacteriaceae. The record is from RNAcentral.
GUGAGACAGGUGCUGCAUGGCUGUCGUCAGCUCGUGUUGUGAAAUGUUGGGUUAAGUCCCGCAACGAGCGCAACCCUUAUCCUUUGUUGCCAGCGGUCCGGCCGGGAACUCAAAGGAGACUGCCAGUGAUAAACUGGAGGAAGGUGGGGAUGACGUCAAGUCAUCAUGGCCCUUACGACCAGGGCUACACACGUGCUACAAUGGCGCAUACAAAGAGAAGCGACCUCGCGAGAGCAAGCGGACCUCAUAAAGUGCGUCGUAGUCCGGAUUGGAGUCUGCAACUCGACUCCAUGAAGUCGGAAUCGCUAGUAAUCGUGGAUCAGAAUGCCACGGUGAAUACGUUCCCGGGCCUUGUACACACCGCCCGUCACACCAUGGGAGUGGGUUGCAAAAGAAGUAGGUAGCUUAACCUUCGGGAGGGCGCUUACCACUUUGUGAUUCAUGACUGGGGUGAAGUCGUAACAAGGUAACCGUAGGGGAACCUGCGGUUGGAUCACCUCCUUACCU